UCCCUUGUGGCUCAGCCGGUAAAGAAUCUGCCUGCAAUGCAGGAGACCUGGGUUCAAUCCCUGGGUUGGGAA
Molecule: non-coding RNA, 72 nt
Organism: Bos taurus (domestic cattle)
Lineage: Eukaryota; Metazoa; Chordata; Mammalia; Artiodactyla; Bovidae
Source: Rfam